Molecule: ribosomal RNA, 119 nt
Filed under: Gossypium arboreum
Lineage: Eukaryota; Viridiplantae; Streptophyta; Magnoliopsida; Malvales; Malvaceae
Source: RNAcentral
GGGUGCGAUCAUACCAAGACUAAUGCAACAGAUCCCAUCAGAAAUCUACAGUUAAGCGUGCUUGGGCGAGAGUAGUACUAGGAUAGUUGACCUCCUGGGAAGUCCUCGUGUUGCAUCCC